AUUGAACGCUGGCGGCAGGCCUAACACAUGCAAGUCGAGCGGUGGAGAGAAGCUUGCUUCUCUUGAGAGCGGCGGACAGGUGAGUAAUGCCUAGGAAUCUGCCUGGUAGUGGGGGAUAACGUUCGGAAACGGACGCUAAUACCGCAUACGUCCUACGGGAGAAAGCAGGGGACCUUCGGGCCUUGCGCUAUCAGAUGAGCCUAGGUCGGAUUAGCUAGUUGGUGGGGUAAUGGCUCACCAAGGCGACGAUCCGUAACUGGUCUGAGAGGAUGAUCAGUCACACUGGAACUGAGACACGGUCCAGAAUCCUACGGGAGGCAGCAGUGGGGAAUAUUGGACAAUGGGCGAAAGCCUGAUCCAGCCAUGCCGCGUGUGUGAAGAAGGUCUUCGGAUUGUAAAGCACUUUAAGUUGGGAGGAAGGGCAGUAAAUUAAUACUUUGCUGUUUUGACGUUACCGACAGAAUAAGCACCGGCUAACUCUGUGCCAGCCGCCGCCGUAA
Molecule: ribosomal RNA, 500 nt
Filed under: uncultured bacterium
Lineage: Bacteria
Description: partial 16S ribosomal RNA
Rfam family: Bacterial small subunit ribosomal RNA
Source: RNAcentral